Molecule: ribosomal RNA, 302 nt
Filed under: Francisella sp. 0001.04
Lineage: Bacteria; Pseudomonadati; Pseudomonadota; Gammaproteobacteria; Thiotrichales; Francisellaceae
Description: bacterial LSU rRNA
Rfam family: Bacterial large subunit ribosomal RNA
Source: RNAcentral
GGGUACUCACUCGAUACAGAGUGUAGAGCGAACGAGGGGAACUGAAACAUCUAAGUACCCUUAGGAAGAGAAAUCAAUUGAGAUUCCCGUAGUAGUGGCGAGCGAAGUGGGAAGAGCCUGGUAUGAUUUAGCUGUAAUUAUAGUAGAACAAGUUGGGAAGCUUGACGAUAGAGGGUGAUAGUCCCGUAUACGAAAUAAUCACAGUGGAACUAAGCAUACGAACAAGUAGGACGGGGCACGUGGAACCUUGUCUGAAUAUGGGGGGACCAUCCUCCAAGGCUAAAUACUCCUGAAUGACCGAU